CGGACGGGUGAGUAAUGUCUGGGAAACUGCCCGAUGGAGGGGGAUAACUACUGGAAACGGUAGCUAAUACCGCAUAACGUCGCAAGACCAAAGAGGGGACCUUCGGGCCUCUUGCCAUCGGAUGUGCCCAGAUGGGAUUAGCUAGUAGGUGGGGUAACGGCUCACCUAGGCGACGAUCCCUAGCUGGUCUGAGAGGAUGACUAGCCACACUGGAACUGAGACACGGUCCAG
Molecule: ribosomal RNA, 231 nt
Filed under: uncultured bacterium
Lineage: Bacteria
Description: partial 16S ribosomal RNA
Rfam family: Bacterial small subunit ribosomal RNA
Source: RNAcentral